This 301-nucleotide ribosomal RNA is filed under the name uncultured bacterium. Its description in RNAcentral is "partial 16S ribosomal RNA". It matches the Rfam family "Bacterial small subunit ribosomal RNA", at positions 509 to 807 of the family's 1533-position model. The record is from RNAcentral.
CAGUCGCCGCGGGAAUACAGAGGGUGCGAGCGUUAAUCGGAUUUACUGGGCGUAAAGCGUGCGUAGGCGGCUUCUUAAGUCGGAUGUGAAAUCCCUGAGCUUAACUUAGGAAUUGCAUUCGAUACUGGGAAGCUAGAGUAUGGGAGAGGAUGGUAGAAUUCCAGGUGUAGCGGUGAAAUGCGUAGAGAUCUGGAGGAAUACCGAUGGCGAAGGUAGCCAUCUGGCCUAAUACUGACGCUGAGGUACGAAAGCAUGGGGAGCAAACAGGAUUAGAUACCCCGGUAGUCCCUGUCUCUUAUAC